CGGGCGAGGCGCCGGUCUAAGUCCCUUGGAACGGGGCGUCAGAGAGGGUGAGAAUCCCGUACGCGACCGGCGACCGAGCCUAUGUGAAACCCCUUCGACGAGUCGAGUUGUUUGGGAAUGCAGCUCAAAACGGGUGGUAAAUUUCAUCUAAAGCUAAAUACCGGCCAGAGACCGAUAGCGCACAAGUAGAGUGAUCGAAAGAUGAAAAGCACUUUGGAAAGAGAGUCAAAAAGUACGUGAAAUUGUUGAAAGGGAAGCGCUUGCAACCAGACCUGCCCGCGGGUGAUCAGCCGUCCUUCUGGGCGGUGCACUCGCCCGCGAUCAGGCCAGCAUCGGUUCGGGCGGUCGGAUAAAGGCCUCGGGAACGUGGCUCCCCUCGGGGAGUGUUAUAGCCCUUGGUGUAAUGCGGCCCGCCCGGACCGAGGACCGCGCUUCGGCUAGGAUGCUGGCGUAAUGGUUGUAAGCGGCCCGUCUUGAAACACGGACCAAGGAGUCGACCAACUAUGCGAGUGUUUGGGUGUCAAACCCACACGCGCAAUGAAAGUGAACGGAGGUGGGAACCCCUCGCGGGGCGCACCAUCGACCGAUCCAGAUGUCUUCGGAUGGAUUUGAGUACGAGCAUAGCUGGUCGGACCCGAAAGAUGAUGAACUAUGCCUGAAUAGGGUGAAGCCAGAGGAAACUCUGGUGGAGGCUCGCAGCGGUUCUGACGUGCAAAUCGAUCGUCAAAUUUGGGCAUAGGGGCGAAAGACUAAUCGAAUCAUC
This 763-nucleotide ribosomal RNA is filed under the name Massjukiella tenax. Its description in RNAcentral is "LSU rRNA". It matches the Rfam family "Eukaryotic large subunit ribosomal RNA", at positions 165 to 944 of the family's 3401-position model. The record is from RNAcentral. Lineage: Eukaryota; Fungi; Ascomycota; Lecanoromycetes; Teloschistales; Teloschistaceae.